GAUGAACGCUGGCGGCGUGCCUAAUACAUGCCAGUCGAGCGAACAGACGAGGAGCUUGCUCCUCUGACGUUAGCGGCGGACGGGUGAGUAACACGUGGAUAACCUACCUAUAAGACUGGGAUAACUUCGGGAAACCGGAGCUAAUACCGGAUAAUAUAUUGAACCGCAUGGUUCAAUAGUGAAAGACGGUUUUGCUGUCACUUAUAGAUGGAUCCGCGCCGCAUUAGCUAGUUGGUAAGGUAACGGCUUACCAAGGCAACGAUGCGUAGCCGACCUGAGAGGGUGAACGGCCACACUGGAACUGAGACACGGUCCAGACUCCUACGGGAGGCAGCAGUAGGGAAUCUUCCGCAAUGGGCGAAAGCCUGACGGAGCAACGCCGCGGGAAUGAUGAAGGGCUUCGGAUCGUAAAACUCUGUUAUUAGGGAAGAACAAAUGUGUAAGUAACUAUGCACGUCUUGACGGUACCUUAUCAGAAAGGCACGGCUAACUACGUG
This 497-nucleotide ribosomal RNA is filed under the name uncultured bacterium. Its description in RNAcentral is "partial 16S ribosomal RNA". It matches the Rfam family "Bacterial small subunit ribosomal RNA", at positions 28 to 507 of the family's 1533-position model. The record is from RNAcentral.